RNAcentral lists this ribosomal RNA (253 nucleotides) under uncultured bacterium. Its description in RNAcentral is "partial 16S ribosomal RNA". It matches the Rfam family "Bacterial small subunit ribosomal RNA", at positions 524 to 776 of the family's 1533-position model. The record is from RNAcentral.
UACAGAGGGGGCAAGCGUUGUUCGGAAUUACUGGGCGUAAAGGGCGCGUAGGCGGCCUUCUAAGUCGAACGUGAAAUCCCCGGGCUCAACCCGGGAACUGCGUCCGAUACUGGAAGGCUUGAAUCCGGGAGAGGGAUGCGGAAUUCCAGGUGUAGCGGUGAAAUGCGUAGAUAUCUGGAGGAACACCGGUGGCGAAGGCGGCAUCCUGGACCGGUAUUGACGCUGAGGCGCGAAAGCUAGGGGAGCAAACGGG